Stegodyphus dumicola is the source of this 619-nucleotide long non-coding RNA. RefSeq lists it as uncharacterized. The record is from RefSeq and is a predicted model, not a curated record. NCBI's taxonomy places the organism in Eukaryota, Metazoa, Arthropoda, Arachnida, Araneae, Eresidae.
UUGCUUAUAUAGCGAAAUUUUUAAACAGAAAAAUCCAAUUUUCAGAAGGAGCGGAAUAAAAAGAAACAUUCUUAACUGAAUAAGGUGAGAGAUGUGAAGGUAAUAAAAAAAUGAUUUUCUGAAGAAGAUAUGCAAUUUUUACCUCUUCCCUCAUUCGAACGAUGGAUGCCUACAGAGUUGAGGUUUCUAACACUCUCUUCUUUGUCUAGAGAAGAUUACCGGAGAUUUUGUAUGUCAGAAAUAAGGAUUACGGCGCUAACUCUGGCUCCGAAUCUUAAGUGCUGUCGUGUUUCUUUCCCAUGUUUAUUAUCACGUUCAAGUAGCUUACCAUGAUAGAUAAGACGUCCGCUAAUCUAAGGUCAAUUGCGAUUCGAUCAACAAAUCCAUGAAUUACUAAAUCAUACGAAGCGAAAAUACAGACCUCCCAAUUAUCUAGAUAUCAGACACCAGGAUGAUUAUCUGGAUCAUUUUCAAAUCAGAUGGCAGCACUGCACCACCAUAGGAGACUGCCUCCAACAGUGACAUCCUUACUGCUGGGACCUUUGGUGAUGAUUACGCCUCCAGUUACCUGUUUCAUACACCAUUCUUUGUGUUAAUUAAAUGUUAUUUCAUUAAGUGG